This 799-nucleotide long non-coding RNA is filed under the name Pogona vitticeps (central bearded dragon). RNAcentral's name for it is "lncRNA (ENSPVIG00000008031.1)". Lineage: Eukaryota; Metazoa; Chordata; Lepidosauria; Squamata; Agamidae. The record is from RNAcentral.
AGUACCUCAGUUUAUGAAACGGAUCUGUUCUACGCGACCUUACGUAGUACGGAAAUUUUACAAACCGAAAUGCCAAUUGUGCUACGAAAGGGGCGGUGCUAUAGGCACAAUGCACCCCGGGAAAACCCUUUCAUAGUGCGAAAAAAAGAAAAGAAAACAACAUAAACUGGGGCUUUAUUUCUUAUGGAUUUCAGUUUGUAAACUGAAAAUUACGUAAACUGAGGCAUUCGCAAACCAACAUACUACUGUAUUGCAUAUAUUGACUACUGUAUAUGAUCUCUUUUGUCACCUUCUUUUCUGACUCAAGCUUGAACAUUUGGUAUUUCUUGCUCCAGAUAUGCCUUUGUUGCAAAAUCUUGAGCAUCCUUUUGCUUGCUGGAGAAAAUACCAUCAUGGUGACCAUAUCAUCAGAAUGCUUAUGCUAACCAUCAAAGGCUUAAAUGCCAGUCCUUUCAACGUCAGCGUCUCAGCAAAUCGUGAGAGGUACAAAACAAAUGAGAACAUUAAGGUGACAUGUAAUGCUACAGGCAAACCCUUUCCGGAGUUUUCGUGGCAUCUCCCUUCCACAGAGGGUGUGGAAUUCUCAGACAACAACCGGACCAUUGAGAUAUCUUCAGCUCAGAGUUCCCAUAAUGGGACAUACCUAUGUCUGGCCAAUAAUAUUUAUGGCAAGAAAUCGGCACGAGUGGACAUCGUCUUUGAAGAGUCGACUCGCAGCUGGAUCGCCGCAGUGGUGGUGGUGACGUUGCUGGCAGUCCUGAUCACGGCUGGAGUCGUCUUGUACCGCUGUCAGAAAUGA